This 243-nucleotide ribosomal RNA is filed under the name uncultured bacterium. RNAcentral describes it as "partial 16S ribosomal RNA". It matches the Rfam family "Bacterial small subunit ribosomal RNA", at positions 335 to 595 of the family's 1533-position model. The record is from RNAcentral.
GGGCCUACGGGAGGCAGCAGUGGGGAAUAUUGCACAAUGGGGGAAACCCUGAUGCAGCAACGCCGCGUGAGUGAUGACGGCCUUCGGGUUGUAAAGCUCUGUCUUCAGGGACGAUAAUGACGGUACCUGAGGAGGAAGCCACGGCUAACUACGUGCCAGCAGCCGCGGUAAUACGUAGGGGGCAAGCGUUAUCCGGAAUUAUUGGGCGUAAAGAGUACGUAGGCGGUUCUUUAAACGUAGGGU